UGGACUGCACCUACAGCUAACGCGUCCGGAAAAAGGCCCAUCUCCGUUCAAAUUCUACAAUAGUUGGUUAAGGGAUGCUGAAUUCAACUCUGAAUUCAAGAAGGCUUGAGAAACGAUUUUCGAAGGGACUCCACUAUUCAUCUUACAGUAGAGGAUAAAUGCGGUGAGAGUCGCUGGGAAAAAUUGGACGCAGAGGAAAAGAAUUGCAGGCGACACCCCAACCAAAAUCUCGGUUGACCUGCAAAUCAAAGCCACUAAGUUACAGCUCGAUCCUCUCAAUCCAAAAUUCC
RNAcentral lists this long non-coding RNA (290 nucleotides) under Zostera marina. Its description in RNAcentral is "long non-coding RNA (ZMAR_LNC001608)". The record is from RNAcentral. Lineage: Eukaryota; Viridiplantae; Streptophyta; Magnoliopsida; Alismatales; Zosteraceae.